AUAAAUAUAUUUUAAAACAUAUCUAAACAUAAUUAAAAAUAUAAUUCAAAAUAAGCUUUACCUACCUUGUACCACCACUAUAAAUACAAACAUUCAAAUACCCUUCCAUAUCCUUAUCAUCAAAUUAGUGAUAUCAUCUCCCCUUUGAACUAAACAAUCACUACACAAAUAAUAAAUAACUCCCUCUCUCUCUCUCUCUCUCUCUCUCUCUCUCUCUGAAACCAACCUGUUUUGGGUCUUGACCAAAAAAAGAAAAGCUCAACGACCAGUCAAUCGAUCUAACUAUGCUGCAGUUGUUCUUCGCGGUGGCCUUCUCGGCGGUGCCUUUGACUCUCUACGUUCCGCCCAUUCGAUCUCUAAACUUAUUCGUGGAGACCAUGGAGGAUGUAUUACGCCAGACAUCCUUGUACACCGUCAGGGCUUAUCCUAGGAUUCGUCUUGUGUUUUCUCGUUUCUUUCGCAAUCUCUUUAACUUGUCCAGUGUUACAAACGGUAUCUAAUUCGGUCCAAGAGGACAGGUGGGGCUGAAAGGGAAAUUGCAGCAUUCAUGUGCUAGGAAACAAGCAUCAAUAAAAGAAAGAAUAUAAAUCAUAUAUUUGGCACUUUUCUGGAUGCGUUUUGUAGUGGUUGGUAAGCAGGGAGGAAUAUUGCCUGUUUACUGUGAGGCAUGUAGUUGGAUUUUGUGGCCUCGUAUUCUGGGAUUUGAUCAAUCAAAGAGAUCUCUUUAUGCAAACGAAAAACGAAAUGCAUGUAUUGCAACCUUUAAAGUUUAAAGGGAUUACGAGGUCAAGGAGGAUGGAGAUUUCAUGA
This is a long non-coding RNA of Populus nigra (black poplar), 810 nucleotides long. RefSeq lists it as uncharacterized. Lineage: Eukaryota; Viridiplantae; Streptophyta; Magnoliopsida; Malpighiales; Salicaceae. The record is from RefSeq and is a predicted model, not a curated record. The transcript is spliced from 2 exons.